RNAcentral lists this ribosomal RNA (253 nucleotides) under uncultured bacterium. Its description in RNAcentral is "partial 16S ribosomal RNA". It matches the Rfam family "Bacterial small subunit ribosomal RNA", at positions 524 to 776 of the family's 1533-position model. The record is from RNAcentral.
UACGGGGGGGGUAAGCGUUGUUCGGAAUUACUGGGCGUAAAGGGCUCGUAGGCGGCCAACUAAGUCGGACGUGAAAUCCCUCAGCUUAACUGGGGAACUGCGUCUGAUACUGGAUGGCUUGGAUUUGGGAGAGGGAUGCGGAAUUCCAGGUGUAGCGGUGAAAUGCGUAGAUAUCGGAAGGAACGCCGGUGGCGAAAGCGGUCUGCUGGAUCUCUUCUGACGCUGAUGCGCGAAAGCCAGGGGAGCAAACGGG